UUAAACUGAAGAGUUUGAUCAUGGCUCAGAUUGAACGCUGGCGGCAGGCUUAACACAUGCAAGUCGAGCGGUAACAGGGGGUGCUUGCACCCCGCUGACGAGCGGCGGACGGGUGAGUAAUGCAUAGGAAACUGCCCAGUAGUGGGGGAUAGCCCGGGGAAACCCGGAUUAAUACCGCGUACGCCCUUCGGGGGAAAGCAGGGGAUCUUCGGACCUUGCGCUAUUGGAUGUGCCUAUGUCGGAUUAGCUAGUUGGUGGGGUAAAGGCCUACCAAGGCGACGAUCCGUAGCUGGUCUGAGAGGAUGAUCAGCCACAUCGGGACUGAGAC
Molecule: ribosomal RNA, 328 nt
Filed under: Marinobacter sp.
Lineage: Bacteria; Pseudomonadati; Pseudomonadota; Gammaproteobacteria; Pseudomonadales; Marinobacteraceae
Description: bacterial SSU rRNA
Rfam family: Bacterial small subunit ribosomal RNA
Source: RNAcentral